UGUCUGUAACUUCCUCUGGAAGCUUCAUCCCAGAGGGGCACCUGCCAGAUGCCAGCCGGAGCUCUCCUCUAUGAGUGAAUGAAGGAGGGAAGAAAGGAGAGACAGAGAAAAUAUGGGAAGUAUGCAGCUGGCAUCAGAAGCUGGAAGAUAGGAUCUUCCCGGAUCACAGCUCCUGUUCAGAAAGUCUGAGGAUGUCAGACUGAGACUGUUGAGUCUGAGGAUGUCAGACUGAGAUUGUUGAGUCUCAGGAUGUUGCAGGACAGGAUGGAUGAAGAAUGCUAGUCCUGGCAGUUGGGGCCUAAGGCCAGGGCCCUUUUUUAUCACUUUCUUGUGUUGCCUCUCUGCCCAAGAAAAAAUCUGUCUCUUGCAUACAGCUCCUCUAAUACGUGUCCAUUAGAAGGAAGGAGUUUCUUUAAUGAGCUCUAUGGUUUUAUCUUGCUCAUAACAGCUUAGUUUAAUGCCACUGAAACUGUAACAUUUUUUUGUGCCUAAUAUCAACUGACAAAUAUAAAGUUAUUCCUAAUUUAUUAAUUCAAAUGAUAUAUUGCAAAAUAAAAUCUGCUUAAUAUGAAAAGAA
Molecule: long non-coding RNA, 577 nt
Filed under: Homo sapiens (human)
Lineage: Eukaryota; Metazoa; Chordata; Mammalia; Primates; Hominidae
Description: HSALNT0064932
Source: RNAcentral